Molecule: ribosomal RNA, 572 nt
Filed under: Isolda pulchella
Lineage: Eukaryota; Metazoa; Annelida; Polychaeta; Terebellida; Melinnidae
Description: SSU rRNA
Rfam family: Eukaryotic small subunit ribosomal RNA
Source: RNAcentral
UAGUCAUAUGCUUGUCUCAAAGAUUAAGCCAUGCAUGUCUAAGUACAAGCUUUUACACAGUGAAACCGCGAAUGGCUCAUUAGAUCAGUUAAUAUUUAUUAGAUCGUACAAUCCUACUUGGAUAACUGUGGUAAUUCUAGAGCUAAUACAUGCGUGCAAGCCCUGACCUCCGGGGAAGGGCGCUUUUAUUAGAUCAAAACCAAUGCCGCCUUCGGGCGGGCCACCUUUGGUGACUCUGGAUAACUUUGUGCCGAUCGCAUGGCCCAGUGCCGGCGACGUAUCUUUCAAAUGUCUGCCCUAUCAAGUUUCGAUGGUACUUGAUAUGACUACCAUGCUUGUAACGGGUAACGGGGAAUCAGGGUUCGAUUCCGGAGAGGGAGCCUGAGAAACGGCUACCACAUCUAAGGAAGGCAGCAGGCGCGCAAAUUACCCACUCCUAGAACGGGGAGGUAGUGACAAGAAAUAACAAUACGGGACUCUAUCGAGGCCCCGUAAUUGGAAUGAGUACACUUUAAAUCCUUUAACGAGGAUCUAUUGGAGGGCAAGUCUGGUGCCAGCAGCCGCGGUAAUUC